RNAcentral lists this non-coding RNA (30 nucleotides) under Rattus norvegicus (Norway rat). Lineage: Eukaryota; Metazoa; Chordata; Mammalia; Rodentia; Muridae. The record is from RNAcentral.
UUUGAUGUUAUAUAAUUUGACUGCUAUGGC